RNAcentral lists this ribosomal RNA (785 nucleotides) under Shigella flexneri. RNAcentral describes it as "bacterial SSU rRNA". It matches the Rfam family "Bacterial small subunit ribosomal RNA", at positions 1 to 775 of the family's 1533-position model. Lineage: Bacteria; Pseudomonadati; Pseudomonadota; Gammaproteobacteria; Enterobacterales; Enterobacteriaceae. The record is from RNAcentral.
AAAUUGAAGAGUUUGAUCAUGGCUCAGAUUGAACGCUGGCGGCAGGCCUAACACAUGCAAGUCGAACGGUAACAGAAAGCAGCUUGCUGCUUUGCUGACGAGUGGCGGACGGGUGAGUAAUGUCUGGGAAACUGCCUGAUGGAGGGGGAUAACUACUGGAAACGGUAGCUAAUACCGCAUAACGUCGCAAGACCAAAGAGGGGGACCUUAGGGCCUCUUGCCAUCGGAUGUGCCCAGAUGGGAUUAGCUAGUAGGUGGGGUAACGGCUCACCUAGGCGACGAUCCCUAGCUGGUCUGAGAGGAUGACCAGCCACACUGGAACUGAGACACGGUCCAGACUCCUACGGGAGGCAGCAGUGGGGAAUAUUGCACAAUGGGCGCAAGCCUGAUGCAGCCAUGCCGCGUGUAUGAAGAAGGCCUUCGGGUUGUAAAGUACUUUCAGCGGGGAGGAAGGGAGUAAAGUUAAUACCUUUGCUCAUUGACGUUACCCGCAGAAGAAGCACCGGCUAACUCCGUGCCAGCAGCCGCGGUAAUACGGAGGGUGCAAGCGUUAAUCGGAAUUACUGGGCGUAAAGCGCACGCAGGCGGUUUGUUAAGUCAGAUGUGAAAUCCCCGGGCUCAACCUGGGAACUGCAUCUGAUACUGGCAAGCUUGAGUCUCGUAGAGGGGGGUAGAAUUCCAGGUGUAGCGGUGAAAUGCGUAGAGAUCUGGAGGAAUACCGGUGGCGAAGGCGGCCCCCUGGACGAAGACUGACGCUCAGGUGCGAAAGCGUGGGGAGCAAACAG